UUCCUUCGGGAAUUCUUAGUGGCGAACGGGUGAGUAACGCGUAGGCAACCUGCCCUCUGGAUGGGGACAACAUUCCGAAAGGAGUGCUAAUACCGAAUGUGACGAUUUUACCGCAUGGUUUUAAUCGUGAAAAGAUGGCCUCUACAUGUAAGCUAUCGCCAAAGGAUGGGCCUGCGUCUGAUUAGCUAGGUUGGUGGGGUAACGGCUCACCCAAGGCGACGAUCAGUAGCCGGUCUGAGAGGAUGAACGGCCACAUUGGGACUGAGACACGGCCCAGACUCCUACGGGAGGCAGCAGUGGGGGAAUCUUCCGCAAUGGGCGAAAGCCUGACGGAGCAACUGCCGCGUGAGUGAUGAAGGUUUUCGGACCGUAAAGCUCUUUUGUUUAUGAUGAAUGUGCAUGAUGUGAACAAUGUUGUGUAAUGACGGUAGUAAACGAAUAAGCCACGGCUAACUACGUG
RNAcentral lists this ribosomal RNA (460 nucleotides) under uncultured bacterium. Its description in RNAcentral is "bacterial SSU rRNA". It matches the Rfam family "Bacterial small subunit ribosomal RNA", at positions 75 to 507 of the family's 1533-position model. The record is from RNAcentral.